RNAcentral lists this ribosomal RNA (492 nucleotides) under uncultured bacterium. RNAcentral's name for it is "partial 16S ribosomal RNA". It matches the Rfam family "Bacterial small subunit ribosomal RNA", at positions 29 to 507 of the family's 1533-position model. The record is from RNAcentral.
AGUGAACGCUGGCGGUAGGCCUAACACAUGCAAGUCGAACGGCAGCACAGUAAGAGCUUGCUCUUACGGGUGGCGAGUGGCGGACGGGUGAGGAAUACAUCGGAAUCUACUUUUUCGUGGGGGAUAAUGUAGGGAAACUUACGCUAAUACCGCAUACGACCUACGGGUGAGAGCAGGGGAUCUUCGGACCUUGCGCGAUUGAAUGAGCCGAUGUCGGAUUAGCUAGUUGGCGGGGUAAAGGCCCACCAAGGCGACGAUCCGUAGCUGGUCUGAGAGGAUGAUCAGCCACACUGGAACUGAGACACGGUCCAGACUCCUACGGGAGGCGGCAGUGGGGAAUAUUGGACAAUGGGCGCAAGCCUGAUCCAGCCAUACCGCGUGGGUGAAGAAGGCCUUCGGGUUGUAAAGCCCUUUUGUUGGGAAAGAAAAGCAGCAGGUUAAUACCCCGCUGUUCUGACGGUACCCAAAGAAUAAGCACCGGCUAACUUCGUG